Molecule: ribosomal RNA, 253 nt
Filed under: uncultured bacterium
Lineage: Bacteria
Description: partial 16S ribosomal RNA
Rfam family: Bacterial small subunit ribosomal RNA
Source: RNAcentral
UACGUAGGGCGCAAGCGUUAUCCGGAAUUAUUGGGCGUAAAGAGCUCGUAGGCGGUUUGUCGCGGCUGCCGGGAAAGUCCGGGGCUCAACUCCGGAUCUGCGGUGGGUACGGGCAGACUAGAGUGAUGUAGGGGAGACUGGAAUUCCUGGUGUAGCGGUGAAAUGCGCAGAUAUCAGGAGGAACACCGAUGGCGAAGGCAGGUCUCUGGGCAUUAACUGACGCUGAGGAGCGAAAGCAUGGGGAGCGAACAGG